UCAUUUUUCAAGGAUAGUUUUCCCAUUUUGGGCCUUUUCCUUGCCUAACUGUGGAUAAAUUUUCUUAUUUCCCCUUAAAUCGUAAUCGCCAGAGAAACCAAAGGUAGGUUGAAAUUUCAUAUGCAUUUGUUUUAUAUAUACGAGAUUUUAUACUUCCCUACGUUCAUUAUGUGGCUGAAGUUGGUAGAGCUUGAAGAUGGGGAAACUGACAUUUGGUGAAUUGUGAUACUUGUUUGAAUUUCAACCUUUGUGAAGUUAUCUUUAUAUUGAAGGAUGGGGAUAAAUUUUAGAUUUUGUAAAAUGCCGGAAUGUUACAUUUGAGGAAAUACAAUUCAGUAUCUGCGAGUUCCAGAUGAGGUAUGCUGCAUUUCUGGAAAACCACUUGGAGUUGGAUGUGGAAAAGGAAGAGGUAGAGAUGACAGUGCUGCAGGAAGCAAUCAAGAGGAAUUGGUCGUGCUGUGGAUGAUGGUGCUAAAGGUGGAGGGCAAGAAAAGGGAAUGUCUGGUAGCAAAUAUUCUGAUAACAGAGGUGGUGGCCGGGCACAUGGCUGAUUGUUUAUAAACUAUGAGGCAAUUUUAGGUGAGGAGUGCCACUUUUAUCGGCAAGAUAUUUGCGCCGAGUUACAGAGCAAGAUAAAAGAUCUUGUUUAUUCUACCAGCGGCUUCGAGUGUGUAAGAUAAGAUAAUUGGAUGUUUGAGUAAUAAAUGGUGAUACUUUACAUUUGACUGGUGCUUAUUUAUAUUUGAGUGAAGUGUAAUUAGUCUGGAACUGUUGCACCUCUAACAUGGUAGAUCUUUUCUUUUAUGGUUAGGGAAUCCUUCACAAACUGUACAAGUAGGAAUAUAUUUCGAAUGCAGCAUUCAAUAGAACUAGAUAGUACAUUGUACAUUAUUCUAACUUAUUUUUCUUUUUUAAUACUGUAGUGCUAUUUAUUCAUCCUUAC
Long non-coding RNA from Olea europaea var. sylvestris, 943 nucleotides. RefSeq lists it as uncharacterized. The record is from RefSeq and is a predicted model, not a curated record. The transcript is spliced from 4 exons. NCBI's taxonomy places the organism in Eukaryota, Viridiplantae, Streptophyta, Magnoliopsida, Lamiales, Oleaceae.